AGAGUUUGAUCCUGGCUCAGGAUCAACGCUGGCGGCGUGCCUAAUGCAUGCAAGUCGCACGGACCUUCGGGUGAGUGGCAGACGGGUGAGGAACACGUGGGUAACCGACCCUCGAGUGGGGAAUAACCGCCCGAAAGGGUGGCUAAUACCGCAUACGCUCGCUUUCCGGACGAGGGAAGUGAGGAAAGCCGUAAGGCGCUGGAGGACGGGUCUGCGGCCGAUUAGCUUGUUGGUGGGGUAACGGCCUACCAAGGCGACGAUCGGUAGCCGGUCUGAGAGGACGGCCGGCCACACGGGGACUGGGACACGGCCCCGACUCCUACGGGAGGCAGCAGCAAGGAAUAUUGGGCAAUGGCCGAAAGGCUGACCCAGCGACGCCGCGUGGGGGAGGGAGGCCUUCGGGUUGUAAACCCCUUUUCUCAAGGAAGAAACUAGACGGUACUUGAGGAAUAAGCCCCGGCUAACUACGUGCCAGCAGCCGCGGUAAUACGUAGGGGGCGAGCGUUGUCCGGAAUUACUGGGCGUAAAGCGCGCGUAGGUGGCGCGUCAAGAUCGGCGUGAAAUCCCCGGGCUCACCUCGGGGGGGUCGUCGGUGACUGGCGUGCUUGGGUUCCGCAGAGGCAGGUAGAAUUCCCGGUGGAGCGGUGAAAUGCGUAGAGAUCGGGAGGAAUACCAGUGGCGAAGGCGGCCUGCUGGGCGGCAACCGACGCUGAGGCGCGAAAGCGUGGGGAGCGAACCGGAUUAGAUACCCGGGUAGUCCACGCCCUAAACGAUGGGUACUAGGCGUGGGGGGUAUCGACCCCCUCCGUGCCGGAGCUAACGCGGUAAGUACCCCGCCUGGGGAGUACGGCCGCAAGGUUGAAACACAAAGGAAUUGACGGGGGCCCGCACAAGCAGCGGAGCGUGUGGUUUAAUUCGACGCAACGCGCAGAACCUUACCAGGGCUUGAAACGCACCUUACAAUCGUCGAAAGGCGAUGUCCGCAAGGAGUGGUGUACAGAUGCUGCAUGGCUGUCGUCAGCUCGUGCCGUGAGGUGUCGGGUUAAGUCCCGCAACGAGCGCAACCCCUGUCGCUAGUUGGUUGUCUAGCGAGACUGCCCCCGCAAGGGGGAGGAAGGCGGGGAUGACGUCAAGUCAGCACGGCUCUUACGUCCUGGGCUACACACACGCUACAAUGGAUGCGACAGAGGGCUGCGAACCCGCGAGGGGGAGCUAAUCCCAGAAAGGCAUCCUCAGUUGGGAUUGCAGGCUGCAACUCGCCUGCAUGAACGUGGAGUUGCUAGUAACCGCAGGUCAGCACUACUGCGGUGAAUACGUUCCCGGGCCUUGUACACACCGCCCGUCAUGUCAUGAAAGUUGGCAACACCUGAAGUCGCUGGGCUAACCCUUUGGGGAGGCAGGCGCCGAGGGUGGGGCUGAUGAUUGGGACGAAGUCGAAACAAGGUA
Molecule: ribosomal RNA, 1446 nt
Filed under: metagenome
Description: bacterial SSU rRNA
Rfam family: Bacterial small subunit ribosomal RNA
Source: RNAcentral